CCGGACAUGAAUUUCAUCUCUAAUGAACAUUUUGGGGGGUAUAUAGGACCGGGGGAGGGAAGGGUUGUUUAUUUUUACUUGAUCUUGCUUGAUACAGUGCACCCAGUCCCUGAGGAAGUCCAAUCUGUGGACGAAACGCAUAGGACACUCAGUGGUGACACGGAUUGUUUUUAAAUUUGAUGUAAGUUAUUAAAACAUUUUUUAUUGUACUCUGGAUAUUGCACCUUCAAUUUUGUUCUAUCUACAUUCUCUUUUGAGCUCAUAUAUCCCAGUUGCAGUCUAACAAUGGGG
Molecule: non-coding RNA, 291 nt
Organism: Pelobates cultripes (western spadefoot toad)
Lineage: Eukaryota; Metazoa; Chordata; Amphibia; Anura; Pelobatidae
Source: the annotation of a GenBank genome assembly